GGCCAAGUAGUUCAACUGGAUAGAACAUCAGAUUUCGGCUCUGACGGUUGAGGGUUCGAAUCCUUCCUUGGUCACUA
This 77-nucleotide transfer RNA is filed under the name Flavobacteriaceae bacterium. Its description in RNAcentral is "tRNA-Arg". It matches the Rfam family "tRNA". Rfam says of the family: Transfer RNA (tRNA) molecules are approximately 80 nucleotides in length. Their secondary structure includes four short double-helical elements and three loops (D, anti-codon, and T loops). The record is from RNAcentral. RNAcentral also lists the same sequence under 1 other name. Lineage: Bacteria; Pseudomonadati; Bacteroidota; Flavobacteriia; Flavobacteriales; Flavobacteriaceae.